RNAcentral lists this non-coding RNA (148 nucleotides) under Sinorhizobium saheli. Its description in RNAcentral is "FMN sequence". It matches the Rfam family "FMN riboswitch aptamer (RFN element)". Rfam says of the family: The RFN element is a highly conserved domain that is found frequently in the 5'-untranslated regions of prokaryotic mRNAs that encode for flavin mononucleotide (FMN) biosynthesis and transport proteins. This element is a metabolite-dependent riboswitch that directly binds FMN in the absence of proteins. In Bacillus subtilis, the riboswitch most likely controls gene expression by causing premature transcription termination within the 5' untranslated region of the ribDEAHT operon and precluding access to the ribosome-binding site of ypaA mRNA. The record is from Rfam by way of RNAcentral. Lineage: Bacteria; Pseudomonadati; Pseudomonadota; Alphaproteobacteria; Hyphomicrobiales; Rhizobiaceae.
CGCUGUUCUCAGGGCGGGGUGGAAUUCCCCACCGGCGGUAUCGGGAGUGAUCCCGGAGCCCGCGAGCGCUUCCGGCUCCAGCCGGAAGGUCAGCAGAUCCGGUGCGAGGCCGGAGCCGACGGUAUAGUCCGGAUGGAAGAGAGCAUUG